AAUGAACGCUGGCGGCAUGCCUUACACAUGCGAGUCGAACGGCAGCAUGACCUAGCUUGCUAGGUUGAUGGCGAGUGGCGAACGGGUGAGUAAUGCAUCGGAACGUGCCUUUUAGUGGGGGAUAACGUAGCGAAAGUUACGCUAAUACCGCAUAUUCUCUGAGGAGGAAAGCAGGGGACCUUCGGGCCUUGCGCUAGAAGAGCGGCCGAUGUCGGAUUAGCUAGUUGGUGAGGUAAAGGCUCACCAAGGCAACGAUCCGUAGCGGGUCUGAGAGGAUGAUCCGCCACACUGGGACUGAGACACGGCCCAGACUCCUACGGGAGGCAGCAGUGGGGAAUUUUGGACAAUGGGCGCAAGCCUGAUCCAGCCAUGCCGCGUGAGUGAAGAAGGCCUUCGGGUUGUAAAGCUCUUUCGGCUGGGAAGAAAUCGCACCCUCUAAUACAGGGUGUGGAUGACGGUACCAGCAUAAGAAGCACCGGCUAACUACGUG
RNAcentral lists this ribosomal RNA (490 nucleotides) under uncultured bacterium. RNAcentral describes it as "partial 16S ribosomal RNA". It matches the Rfam family "Bacterial small subunit ribosomal RNA", at positions 29 to 507 of the family's 1533-position model. The record is from RNAcentral.